RNAcentral lists this ribosomal RNA (379 nucleotides) under Capra hircus (goat). RNAcentral describes it as "partial 12S ribosomal RNA". It matches the Rfam family "Bacterial small subunit ribosomal RNA", at positions 861 to 1402 of the family's 1533-position model. Lineage: Eukaryota; Metazoa; Chordata; Mammalia; Artiodactyla; Bovidae. The record is from RNAcentral.
AAAAUUAUUCGCCAGAGUACUACCGGCAACAGCCCGAAACUCAAAGGACUUGGCGGUGCUUUAUACCCUUCUAGAGGAGCCUGUUCUAUAAUCGAUAAACCCCGAUAAACCUCACCAAUCCUUGCUAAUACAGUCUAUAUACCGCCAUCUUCAGCAAACCCUAAAAAGGAACAAAAGUAAGCUCAAUCACAACACAUAAAGACGUUAGGUCAAGGUGUAACCCAUGGAAUGGGAAGAAAUGGGCUACAUUUUCUACCUUAAGAAAAUUAAUACGAAAGCCAUUAUGAAAUUAAUGACCAAAGGAGGAUUUAGUAGUAAACUAAGAAUAGAGUGCUUAGUUGAAUUAGGCCAUGAAGCACGCACACACCGCCCGUCACCC